Long non-coding RNA from Artibeus jamaicensis (Jamaican fruit-eating bat), 973 nucleotides. RefSeq lists it as uncharacterized. The transcript has 3 exons. The record is from RefSeq and is a predicted model, not a curated record. Lineage: Eukaryota; Metazoa; Chordata; Mammalia; Chiroptera; Phyllostomidae.
AAGCCCAGCCCUGUCUACUCUGCACCUGCAUCCAGGCAGCUGGAGAUGGCUGGGAGAAUAAAAGGCUACAAACGACCUGACAGCAGAAAGUAAGUCUUCUGCUUCUCCGACAACACAGUUUGAGUCCACACUAGGAAUUUCAUAACCAGCCCGACGGCGAACUCCCACACACCAGAGCAACCGCGGAGCAGAGACAAUAAUGCAAGCAGCUGCUCAAGCUGUGGUUUUCAUUAAGGGAAAAAAGUGCCUUGAUUAUAAGGGAUUUAGUUUUUAACCUUUGGGCCAACACUAAAGUGAUUAAAACUCCAUGUACAGAAACACAAAUGGUUUCUUAAAAGUAUGAUUGGAGCAUACUCAGCAUUAUCUAUGGGGGCUGAGAACAGUUCAAAUUUUAACACCCACCUUGGCUUAGUGCAUGAACUUGGAUGUAGGAAAGCUAGCAAAAACCCAGUAUACAAAACCCAUUGUACAGGCCCUAAGUUGCAUUUCUGCAAAGGUCAGGGAUAUAUUUUUGCCAAAUUCUUCAGCUACAAAAAGCAAGGCGAUCAAGCCAUGAAAAGACAUGGAGGAACCUUAAAUGCAUAAUUCUAGUGGAAGAUGACAAUUUGAAAAGGUUACAUACUAUAUGAUUCCAACUGAUAUUCUGGAAAAGGCAAACCUAUUGGAGACAAUAAAAAGAUCAAUUUUUUUCAGGGAUUAGUGGGAAGGGAGGGAUAAACUGAUGGAACACGGAAGAUUUUAGAGCAGUGAAAAUGCUCUGUAUGAUAAUAUAAUGGUCAAUACAUGCCAUUAAACAGUUGUCCAAACCCACAGAAUAUACAAUGCCAAUGGUGAACCCUAAAGGAAACUGUGUACUUUUGGUGGCAAUGAUGUGUUAGUACAGGUUUAUCAGUUAUAACAAGUGAACCGCUGUGGUGGGGGUGCUGGCAAUGGGGGAGGCUACGCGUGUGUUGGGGGCAUGGUGUACGAGGUA